Molecule: ribosomal RNA, 492 nt
Filed under: uncultured bacterium
Lineage: Bacteria
Description: partial 16S ribosomal RNA
Rfam family: Bacterial small subunit ribosomal RNA
Source: RNAcentral
GAUGAACGCUAGCUACAGGCUUAACACAUGCAAGUCGAGGGGAAACGACAUCGAAAGCUUGCUUUUGAUGGGUGUCGACCGGCGCACGGGUGAGUAACGCGUAUCCAACCUGCCCACCACUUGGGGAUAACCUUGCGAAAGUAAGACUAAUACCCAAUGAUAUCUCUAGAAGACAUCUGAAAGAGAUUAAAGAUUUAUCGGUGAUGGAUGGGGAUGCGUCUGAUUAGCUUGUUGGCGGGGUAACGGCCCACCAAGGCAACGAUCAGUAGGGGUUCUGAGAGGAAGGUCCCCCACAUUGGAACUGAGACACGGUCCAAACUCCUACGGGAGGCAGCAGUGAGGAAUAUUGGUCAAUGGACGAGAGUCUGAACCAGCCAAGUAGCGUGCAGGAAGACGGCCCUAUGGGUUGUAAACUGCUUUUAUAAGGGAAUAAAGUGAGUCUCGUGAGACUUUUUGCAUGUACCUUAUGAAUAAGGACCGGCUAAUUCCGUG